This 253-nucleotide ribosomal RNA is filed under the name uncultured bacterium. RNAcentral's name for it is "partial 16S ribosomal RNA". It matches the Rfam family "Bacterial small subunit ribosomal RNA", at positions 524 to 776 of the family's 1533-position model. The record is from RNAcentral.
UACGAAGGGGGCUAGCGUUGUUCGGAAUUACUGGGCGUAAAGCGCACGUAGGCGGAUACUUAAGUCAGGGGUGAAAUCCCGGGGCUCAACCCCGGAACUGCCUUUGAUACUGGGUAUCUCGAGUCUGGAAGAGGUGAGUGGAAUUCCGAGUGUAGAGGUGAAAUUCGUAGAUAUUCGGAGGAACACCAGUGGCGAAGGCGGCUCACUGGUCCGGUACUGACGCUGAGGUGCGAAAGCGUGGGGAGCAAACAGG